GACGAACGCUGGCGGCGUGCUUAACACAUGCAAGUCGUACGGUAAGGCCCUUUCGGGGGUACACGAGUGGCGAACGGGUGAGUAACACGUGAGUAACCUGCCCACAACUUUGGGAUAACGCUAGUAAACUGGUGCUAAUACUGGAUAUGUGCUCCUUCUGCAUGGUGGGGGUUGGAAAGCUCCGGCGGUUGUGGAUGGACUCGCGGCCUAUCAGCUUGUUGGUGGGGUAGUGGCCUACCAAGGCGGCGACGGGUAGCCGGCCUGAGAGGGUGACCGGCCACAUUGGGACUGAGAUACGGCCCAGACUCCUACGGGAGGCAGCAGUGGGGAAUAUUGCACAAUGGGCGCAAGCCUGAUGCAGCAACGCCGCGUGCGGGAUGACGGCCUUCGGGUUGUAAAACGCUUUCAGCAGGGACGAAGCUUUUUGUGACGGUACCUGCAGAAGAAGUACCGGCUAACUACGUG
RNAcentral lists this ribosomal RNA (465 nucleotides) under uncultured bacterium. RNAcentral describes it as "partial 16S ribosomal RNA". It matches the Rfam family "Bacterial small subunit ribosomal RNA", at positions 28 to 507 of the family's 1533-position model. The record is from RNAcentral.